This 253-nucleotide ribosomal RNA is filed under the name uncultured bacterium. RNAcentral describes it as "partial 16S ribosomal RNA". It matches the Rfam family "Bacterial small subunit ribosomal RNA", at positions 524 to 776 of the family's 1533-position model. The record is from RNAcentral.
UACGGAGGGGGCUAGCGUUGUUCGGAAUUACUGGGCGUAAAGCGCGUGUAGGCGGCCGUGUAAGUCGGGGGUGAAAGCCCGGGGCUCAACUCCGGGACUGCCUUCCAGACUGCAUAGCUAGAGGAUGAUAGAGGGGUGCGGAAUUCCGGGUGUAGAGGUGAAAUGCGUAGAUAUUCGGAGGAACACCAGUGGCGAAGACGGCGCCCUGGGUCGUUUCUGACGCUGAGACGCGAAAGCGUGGGGAGCCAACGGG